UCGGUGCUCCUGCGUCGGGUCUGCGCCGAGUCUGCGCCGGGCCGCGCCGAGCGCGAGGGAGGAGGCGCUGCCAGCCCGCAAACCGCAAGCCGCGGGAGACGCCGGGGCUCCCCGCUAAUCCUUCCGGCUUCCUCGAGCGCCGCGCACUCGGGUUCCGGCGCAGCGCGGGUCCGGCCCCGGGUGUGCCCCGGCGCGCGGCCGCGGCGGCCGGUGAGUGGAGCGCGCGGGGCGCCGGGCCGGGCCUGGCCGGGUGGGCCUGCAGGCCCUGGGAAGCGGUCCUGCGGUGUCUGGCCGCAACCGCGGGCGGGGCGGCGGGGACGCGGGCUGCGCCUGCUGGGGGCCCAGUCCAGUCCCGGGGCUGCGCUGGGGGCGGGCGGUGGUCUCCGGGGGUGGACGCCUGCUACCUGUCCCCUCUCCCCUGCAGCCAGGCGCUGGAUGGCUUCUGUACCCGGCUGUGCCCGUCCCCGCUCCCAGAGCUUGUGCCUGGACUGAGUCCUUUUAUCCUCGCAGUCACCCCAUGGCGUGCACCGUUAUUAUCCCGUGUUGCCGACGGGGAAACUGAGGCACACCGAGAUGAGGCCCCUUCCAGGAAGCUACACAGCUUCAUUAACAGAAGCCUUGUGAGAAAAAGACAAGCAAGUACUAGUUAUGCCGUUUUACGGUGUGGGACCAGGCUUUCAGAAAGGAAUCCCAGCAUGUGA
This 701-nucleotide long non-coding RNA is filed under the name Ursus thibetanus thibetanus. Its description in RNAcentral is "lncRNA (ENSUTTG00000001029.1)". The record is from RNAcentral. Lineage: Eukaryota; Metazoa; Chordata; Mammalia; Carnivora; Ursidae.